ACGAAGGGGGCUAGCGUUGUUCGGAAUUACUGGGCGUAAAGCGUACGUAGGCGGAUCUUUAAGUCAGGGGUGAAAUCCCGAGGCUCAACCUCGGAACUGCCUUUGAUACUGGGGAUCUUGAGUCCGGGAGAGGUUAGUGGAACUGCGAGUGUAGAGGUGAAAUUCGUAGAUAUUCGCAAGAACACCAGUGGCGAAGGCGGCUAACUGGCCCGGUACUGACGCUGAAAUACGAAAGCGUGGGGAGCAGACAGGA
This 253-nucleotide ribosomal RNA is filed under the name uncultured prokaryote. RNAcentral's name for it is "partial 16S ribosomal RNA". It matches the Rfam family "Bacterial small subunit ribosomal RNA", at positions 525 to 777 of the family's 1533-position model. The record is from RNAcentral.